GAUGAACGCUGGCGGCGUGCCUAAUACAUGCAAGUCGAGCGAACAGAUGAGGAGCUUGCUCCUCUGACGUUAGCGGCGGACGGGUGAGUAACACGUGGAUAACCUACCUAUAAGACUGGGAUAACUUCGGGAAACCGGCGCUAAUACCGGAUAAUAUAUUGAACCGCAUGGUUCAAUAGUGAAAGACGGUUUUGCUGUCACUUAUAGAUGGAUCCGCGCCGCUUUAGCUAGUUGGUAAGGUAACGGCUUACCAAGGCAACGAUGCGUAGCCGACCUGAGAGGGGGAUCGGCCACACUGGAACUGAGACACGGUCCAGACUCCUACGGGAGGCAGCAGUAGGGAAUCUUCCGCAAUGGGCGAAAGCCUGACGGAGCAACGCCGCGUGAGUGAUGAAGGUCUUCGGAUCGUAAAACUCUGUUAUUAGGGAAGAACAAAUGUGUAAGUAACUAUGCACGUCUUGACGGUACCUAAUCAGAAAGCCACGGCUAACUACGUG
This 497-nucleotide ribosomal RNA is filed under the name uncultured bacterium. RNAcentral's name for it is "partial 16S ribosomal RNA". It matches the Rfam family "Bacterial small subunit ribosomal RNA", at positions 28 to 507 of the family's 1533-position model. The record is from RNAcentral.